This 51-nucleotide ribosomal RNA is filed under the name Winogradskyella epiphytica. The record is from RNAcentral. Lineage: Bacteria; Pseudomonadati; Bacteroidota; Flavobacteriia; Flavobacteriales; Flavobacteriaceae.
GUUUGCGCCGAUGGUACUGCUUUACUGUGGAAGAGUAGGUCACCGCCUUUU